GAUGAACGCUGGCGGCGUGCCUAAUACAUGCAAGUCGAGCGAACAGAUGAGGAGCUUGCUCCUCUGACGUUAGCGGCGGACGGGUGAGUAACACGUGGAUAACCUACCUAUAAGACUGGGAUAACUUCGGGAAACCGGAGCUAAUACCGGAUAAUAUAUUGAACCGCAUGGUUCAAUAGUGAAAGACGGUUUUGCUGUCACUUAUAGAUGGAUCCGCGCCGCAUUAGCUAGUUGGUAAGGUAACGGCUUACCAAGGCAACGAUGCGUAGCCGACCUGAGAGGGUGAUCGGCCACACUAGAACUGAGACACGGUCCAGACGCCUACGGGAGGCAGCAGUAGGGAAUCUUCCGCAAUGGGCGAAAGCCUGACGGAGCAACGCCGCGUGAGUGAUGAAGGUCUUCGGAGCGUAAAACUCUGUUAUUAGGGAAGAGCAAAUGUGUAAGUAACUAUGCACGUCUUGACGGUACCUAAUCAGAGAGCAACGGCUAACUACGUG
Molecule: ribosomal RNA, 497 nt
Filed under: uncultured bacterium
Lineage: Bacteria
Description: partial 16S ribosomal RNA
Rfam family: Bacterial small subunit ribosomal RNA
Source: RNAcentral